CUUGGCGAAGGCUAAAGGGACAGGAAAUCUGGCUGAAGACCGUUGGAUUUCACAGGAAAGCCUGGGGGCUACAGGCUCAGGACCAAGGCAAAGCAGAAUUAACAUGAGCUACAGGAUCCAUCGGCCAAAUCUGACUAUGGAGAUGUCACGGAAAUGAGACACAAAAGUGAAAUUGUUGGAGAAGAGAAAAUAAAAAGAGCUGAACCCCGCCGCAACUCCAAACACCCGGCCCUGCCACCAGGGGCUCGGGAAGCUGCCACACCGUCUUCUGUGGAAAAGAAACU
This is a long non-coding RNA of Panthera uncia (snow leopard), 284 nucleotides long. RefSeq lists it as uncharacterized. The transcript has 3 exons. The record is from RefSeq and is a predicted model, not a curated record. NCBI's taxonomy places the organism in Eukaryota, Metazoa, Chordata, Mammalia, Carnivora, Felidae.